GAAGAUAGAUACCACUUCCUUCUAUAAAAAUAGAUAAUAAUCAAGAGUUUGAGAUUGAAAAAGUCUUAGAUUCAAGGCAUUGCCAAAAUAGAUUGAAAUAUCUUCUGCAUUAGUAUAGAUAUAAUAUUGUCAGUUUGGAUUAUUUUGAUUUUAGCAAUGCAAUUCAAUCUCUCUAUAUACAAUAUGGACAUUGUUUUUACAUUUCUAAAUAGCAUCUUAAAAGGAGAGAACUUUAUGCAACCACCAAGAGGCUUGCUAGUUGAAAAAAGUAAAGUCUUAUGGAAAACUCUCUACAAAUUCAAGUAAUUUGGUAAUAGAUGGAUCCAAGGACUUCAUGAUUAG
RNAcentral lists this long non-coding RNA (342 nucleotides) under Physcomitrium patens. Its description in RNAcentral is "long non-coding RNA (PPAT_LNC010375)". Lineage: Eukaryota; Viridiplantae; Streptophyta; Bryopsida; Funariales; Funariaceae. The record is from RNAcentral.